This 24-nucleotide non-coding RNA is filed under the name Arabidopsis thaliana (thale cress). Lineage: Eukaryota; Viridiplantae; Streptophyta; Magnoliopsida; Brassicales; Brassicaceae. The record is from RNAcentral.
CUUACUCAAUUUCAAAGAACGGAC